RNAcentral lists this ribosomal RNA (468 nucleotides) under uncultured bacterium. RNAcentral describes it as "partial 16S ribosomal RNA". It matches the Rfam family "Bacterial small subunit ribosomal RNA", at positions 28 to 507 of the family's 1533-position model. The record is from RNAcentral.
GACGAACGCUGGCGGCGUGCUUAACACAUGCAAGUCGAACGGAAAGGCCCUGCUUUUGUGGGGUGCUCGAGUGGCGAACGGGUGAGUAACACGUGAGUAACCUGCCCUUGACUUUGGGAUAACUUCAGGAAACUGGGGCUAAUACCGGAUAGGAGCUCCUGCUGCAUGGUGGGGGUUGGAAAGUUUCGGCGGUUGGGGAUGGACUCGCGGCUUAUCAGCUUGUUGGGGGGGUAGUGGCUUACCAAGGCUUUGACGGGUAGCCGGCCUGAUAGGGUGACCGGCGACAUUGGGACUGAGAUACGGCCCAGACUCCUACUGGAGGCAGCAGUGGGGAAUAUUGCACAAUGGGCGGAAGCCUGAUGCAGCAACGCCGCGUGCGGGAUGACGGCCUUCUGGUUGUAAACCGCUUUCGCCUGUGACGAAGCGUGAGUGACGGUAAUGGGUAAAGAAGCACCGGCUAACUACGUG